Long non-coding RNA from Eurytemora carolleeae, 209 nucleotides. RefSeq lists it as uncharacterized. The transcript is spliced from 3 exons. The record is from RefSeq and is a predicted model, not a curated record. Lineage: Eukaryota; Metazoa; Arthropoda; Copepoda; Calanoida; Temoridae.
AGAAAUAAUGGCAAAACUAUGUCUGAACUCUUUGAACUGUUCUCACUCAUUACUCAAUGUGAGUGAGGAUAUUGAGGUUGAAGUGGAGGAUGGAGGAGCUUAUAACUUUAAUCAUAGAGUUCCAAUCCUAGCAGGUCUAGUUGUCAUAUCUCUCCUUGGGAACACUGCAGCUCUUUGUAAACUAUUCUUCGGAACAGAAAACACACAGG